RNAcentral lists this ribosomal RNA (700 nucleotides) under uncultured bacterium. Its description in RNAcentral is "bacterial SSU rRNA". It matches the Rfam family "Bacterial small subunit ribosomal RNA", at positions 197 to 916 of the family's 1533-position model. The record is from RNAcentral.
AGGGGGAAAGCAGAAAUGCGCUGAAAGAGGAGCCCGCGGCCGAUUAGCUAGUUGGUGGGGUAAGAGCCUACCAAGGCAGAGAUCGGUAGCCGGCCUGAGAGGGCACACGGCCACACUGGCACUGAAACACGGGCCAGACUCCUACGGGAGGCAGCAGUGGGGAAUCUUGCACAAUGGGGGAAACCCUGAUGCAGCGACGCCGCGUGAGCGAUGAAGCCCUUCGGGGUGUAAAGCUCUUUCGGCAGGGAAGAUAGUGACGGUACCUGCAGAAGCAGCUGCGGCUAACUACGUGCCAGCAGCCGCGGUAAUACGUAGGCAGCAAGCGUUGUUCGGAGUUACUGGGCGUAAAGGGUGUGUAGGCGGUUCUUUAAGUUUGGUGUGAAAUCUCCCGGCUUAACCGGGAGGGUGCGCCGAAUACUGAGGGACUAGAGUACGGGAGAGGAAAGUGGAAUUCCUGGUGUAGCGGUGAAAUGCGUAGAUAUCAGGAGGAACACCGGUGGUGUAGACGGCUUUCUGGACCGUAACUGACGCUGAGACACGAAAGCGUGGGUAGCAAACAGGAUUAGAUACCCUGGUAGUCCACGCCCUAAACGAUGCAUAUUUGGUGUGGGCAGUUCAUUCUGUCCGUGCCGGAGCUAACGCGUUAAAUAUGCCGCCUGGGGAGUACAGUCGCAAGGCUGAAACUCAAAGGAAUUGACGG